Molecule: long non-coding RNA, 229 nt
Organism: Sebastes umbrosus (honeycomb rockfish)
Lineage: Eukaryota; Metazoa; Chordata; Actinopteri; Perciformes; Sebastidae
Exons: 4
Source: RefSeq, a predicted model, not a curated record
GCCAAACCGUAACAUACCUCUGAUGCAACUAGGGCUGUCUUGAAUGCCAUUUUUUGGGGUUCGAAGCCUCUGUGAGAAAUAAUUGAAGGUAUUCGAAGCUUCGCGGAUUAGCGCAGCAGGCUGACAUGUUCGUCUGUCUGUCUCCAUCUUCCCCCCGUUUCGGUGCCGCUGUCGCACUACCGUACACACACGCAUUUCUACACAACAAAUAGCGAUAUUCCUCUGAGAA